GAUGAACGCUGGCGGCGUGCCUAAUACAUGCAAGUCGAACGCGCAGCGAAAGGUGCUUGCACCUUUCAAGCGAGUGGCGAACGGGUGAGUAACACGUGGAUAACCUGCCUCAAGGCUGGGGAUAACAUUUGGAAACAGAUGCUAAUACCGAAUAAAACUUAGUAUCGCAUGAUACAAAGUUAAAAGGCGCUACGGCGUCACCUAGAGAUGGAUCCGCGGUGGAUUAGUUAGUUGGUGGGGUAAAGGCUUACCAAGACGAUGAUGCAUAGCCGAGUUGAGAGACGGAUCGGCCACAUGGGGACUGAGACACGGCCCAAACUCCUACGGGAGGCUGCAGUAGGGAAUCGUCCACACUGGGCGCAAGCCUGAUGGAGCAACGCCGCGGGUGUGAUGAAGGCUUUCGGGUCGUAAAGCACUGUUGUAUGGGAAGAAAUGCUAAAAUAGGGAAUGAUUUUAGUUUGACGGUACCAUACCAGAAAGGGACGGCUAAAUACGUGCCAGCAGCAGCCGCGG
RNAcentral lists this ribosomal RNA (513 nucleotides) under uncultured bacterium. RNAcentral describes it as "partial 16S ribosomal RNA". It matches the Rfam family "Bacterial small subunit ribosomal RNA", at positions 28 to 523 of the family's 1533-position model. The record is from RNAcentral.